Molecule: non-coding RNA, 84 nt
Filed under: unclassified sequences
Description: c-di-GMP sequence
Rfam family: c-di-GMP-II-GAG riboswitch aptamer
Source: Rfam by way of RNAcentral
AGCGUUGGGGGGCGUCGACGCGCGGCCCAUACCCUCGGCCGCCGGGACCGCGCCGAGCCACUGGCGAGACCGACCCAUGCGACU